CCUACGGGGUGCAGCAGUGAGGAAUAUUGGUCAAUGGGCGAGAGCCUGAACCAGCCAAGUCGCGUGAAGGAUGACGGCCCUACGGGUUGUAAACUUCUUUUGUCAGGGAGCAAUUGAGUCCACGUGUGGUCUUAGCGAGAGUACCUGAAGACAAAGCAUCGGCUAACUCCGUGCCAGCAGCCGCGGUAAUACGUAGGGGGCGAGCGUUAUCCGGAUUCACUGGGUGUUAAGGGAGCGUAGACGGCCAUGCAAGCCAGGGGUGAAAGCCCGGGGCCCAACCCCGGGACUGCCCUUGGAACGGCAGGGCGGGAGUGCGGGAGGGGCAGGCGGAAUUCCUGGUGUAGCGGUGAAAUGCGUAGAUAUCAGGAGGAACACCGGCGGCGAAGGCGGCCUGCUGGACUGCGACUGACGUUGAGGCUCGAAAGCGUGGGGAGCGAACAGGAUUAGAUACCCCUGUAGUC
Molecule: ribosomal RNA, 461 nt
Filed under: uncultured bacterium
Lineage: Bacteria
Description: partial 16S ribosomal RNA
Rfam family: Bacterial small subunit ribosomal RNA
Source: RNAcentral